CCUACGUGAGGCAGCAGUGAGGAAUAUUGGUCAAUGGGCUUACGCCUGAACCAGCCAAGUCGCGUGAGGGAAGACUGCCCUAUGGGUUGUAAACCUCUUUUGUCAGGGAGCAACGCCGGCUACGUGUAGCCGGACUGAGAGUACCUGAAGAAAAAGCAUCGGCUAACUCCGUGCCAGCAGCCGCGGUAAUCCGGAGGAUGCGAGCGUUAUCCGGAUUUAUUGGGUUUAAAGGGUGCGUAGGCGGAAUGCCAAGUCAGCGGUAAAAUCGCGGGGCUCAACCUCGCUCCGCCGUUGAAACUGGCGUUCUUGAGUGGGCGAGAAGUAUGCGGAAUGCGUGGUGUAGCGGUGAAAUGCAUAGAUAUCACGCAGAACUCCGAUUGCGAAGGCAGCAUACCGGCGCCCAACUGACGCUGAAGCACGAAAGCGUGGGUAUCGAACAGGAUUAGAGACCCGGGUAGUC
RNAcentral lists this ribosomal RNA (460 nucleotides) under uncultured bacterium. Its description in RNAcentral is "partial 16S ribosomal RNA". It matches the Rfam family "Bacterial small subunit ribosomal RNA", at positions 338 to 795 of the family's 1533-position model. The record is from RNAcentral.